This 207-nucleotide ribosomal RNA is filed under the name uncultured bacterium. RNAcentral describes it as "partial 16S ribosomal RNA". It matches the Rfam family "Bacterial small subunit ribosomal RNA", at positions 568 to 774 of the family's 1533-position model. The record is from RNAcentral.
CGUGCAGGCGGCUCGGUAAGUCGGAUGUGAAAGCCCGGAGCUCAACUUCGGAAGUGCAUUCGAAACUGCCGGGCUCGAGUACGGGAGAGGGAAGUGGAAUUCCUGGUGUAGAGGUGAAAUUCGUAGAUAUCAGGAGGAACACCGGUGGCGAAGGCGGCUUCCUGGACCGAUACUGACGCUGAGACGCGAAAGCGUGGGGAGCAAACA